This 1495-nucleotide ribosomal RNA is filed under the name uncultured marine bacterium. RNAcentral describes it as "16S ribosomal RNA". It matches the Rfam family "Bacterial small subunit ribosomal RNA". The record is from RNAcentral.
GAGUUUGAUCAUGGCUCAGAUUGAACGCUGGCGGUAGGCUUAACACAUGCAAGUCGUGCGAGAAAGUAUCUUCGGAUAUGAGUAGAGCGGCGGACGGGUGAGUAACGCGUAGGAAUCUACCUAGUAGAAGGGGAUAGCCCGGGGAAACCCGGAUUAAUACCGUAUACCUCCUUCGGGAGAAAGAAGGCCUCUCUUUGAAGCUUUCGCUACUAGAUGAGCCUGCGUAAGAUUAGCUUGUUGGUGAGGUAAAGGCUCACCAAGGCUACGAUCUUUAGCGGGUCUGAGAGGACGAUCCGCCACAUUGGGACUGAGACACGGCCCAGACUCCUACGGGAGGCAGCAGUGGGGAAUAUUGGACAAUGGGCGAAAGCCUGAUCCAGCCAUACCGCGUGUGUGAAGAAGGCCCUAGGGUUGUAAAGCACUUUAAGUUGGGAAGAAAAGUUAUUGGUUAAUACCCAAUGACCGUGACAUUACCAUCAGAAUAAGGACCGGCUAAUUCCGUGCCAGCAGCCGCGGUAAUACGGAAGGUCCAAGCGUUAAUCGGAAUUACUGGGCGUAAAGCGCGCGUAGGUGGUUUAUUAAGUUGGGUGUGAAAUCCCCGGGCUCAACCUGGGAACUGCAUCCAAAACUGAUUCACUAGAGUACGAUAGAGGGAGGUAGAAUUCACAGUGUAGCGGUGGAAUGCGUAGAUAUUAUGAAGAAUACCAGUGGCGAAGGCGGCCUCCUGGAUCUGUACUGACACUGAGGUGCGAAAGCGUGGGUAGCGAACAGGAUUAGAUACCCUGGUAGUCCACGCCGUAAACGAUGACAACUAGCUGUUAGGAGACUAUGUCUUUUAGUGGCGCAGCUAACGUUUUAAGUUGUCCGCCUGGGGAGUACGGCCGCAAGGUUAAAACUCAAAGGAAUUGACGGGGGCCCGCACAAGCGGCGGAGCAUGCGGAUUAAUUCGAUGCAACGCGAAGAACCUUACCAAGGCUUGACAUAUACAGGAAAAGCGUAGAAAUACGCUCCCCGCAAGGUCUGUAUACAGGUGGUGCAUGGUUGUCGUCAGCUCGUGUCGUGAGAUGUUGGGUUAAGUCCCGCAACGAGCGCAACCCUCGUCCUAUGUUGCCAGCACGUAAUGGUGGGAACUCAUGGGAUACUGCCGGGGUCAACUCGGAGGAAGGUGGGGAUGACGUCAAAUCAUCAUGCCCCUUAUGUCUUGGGCUUCACGCAUGCUACAAUGGCCGGUACAGAGGGCUGCAAUACCGUAAGGUGGAGCGAAUCCCAAAAAGCCGGUCUCAGUUCGGAUUGAGGUCUGCAACUCGACCUCAUGAAGUCGGAGUCACUAGUAAUCGUAGAUCAGCAACGCUACGGUGAAUACGUUCCCGGGCCUUGUACACACCGCCCGUCAAGUCACGAAAGUCGAUAACACCCGAAGCCGGUGGCCUAACCGCAAGGAGGGAGCCGUCGAAGGUGGGAUUGGUGAUUGGGACUAAGUCGUAACAAGGUAACC